Non-coding RNA from Schistosoma curassoni, 45 nucleotides. Lineage: Eukaryota; Metazoa; Platyhelminthes; Trematoda; Strigeidida; Schistosomatidae. The record is from Rfam.
GUCCAACUGACGAGUCCGAAAUAGAACGAAACGCGUUUCCUGGAU